CCAGGUGGUACCACACUGUUCAUCUCUCCUGUCAGGAGGUAAGGAAGUCUUUUCCCAUCAUACCAGAAGCAAAGAUCUUCUAUCAGAAAUUCCAGCACGAGGUUUCAGUCACACGCUUCCGUGUGUGAUGCUUCAGUUAUUGAUCGAUGAUUAUAAACAAUUCCUUUUAUUGAAGUUUUAAAGAAAGUAGCUUUAAAAAGAAGCACAGUUAUGAGCAUCAGGGCGAUUGGAGUCAAAAUUGGGUGUUUGAUAGAACAGCAAUUUGGCCGGCCCGAGUGUCACCGUGUUCAAGUAGCAUGUUAUAAAUGCUCAUGUUCGGAAAGGAAUGUGAAAUGCGGGAAAGGUUAGAGUGCCAAGGUCACGGUUUAUUGUGAGUGUUUUUUCCCAAAUAGGCCAUACCCUGUGUUUACAAUUAUUGCUUUAUCAUAAUAAAAAGCCAGUGAGUGUGUUGGAUUAGAAAGCUUCAGAGAAGGCUGUGUGGAAAGGAGGUCAGGGGUUCAAGAGAGCUCUGUUGUUCCUUCUGCCCUCAGGGUGCUUAUGAGAAAAGUGGGAUGCUUUGCAUUGAAUGUUAAUAGUGUGGUGGUUUUCAGCCUAGUAUAUCCUUUGUGUUGAGUAUUGAUGGUUCUUUGUGCUUUGGUUGAUGUCUGAGGUGUGUAUGUUGGCCAUUAAUAUAAAAGGAGGCUGUAUAUUUUACAUCUUUGUUAUUUUUUAUUAUUGCUUUCUAGUGAUUUUUUUUCCCCUACUUCUUUGGAAAUGUUGAUUUUUUUUUAUUUUAACAAGAUAAUUUUCUUUUUACUCAAGAGAUAAGCCCUGGUUUAAGUACUUGGGCUGUGAAAUUUAUUUGCUUUUUUGAAAUAUGUAUCUAUUUCUAUAUGUGUGUUUUGAGUGUACAGUUCACAAACUUUAGAGAUGGAAUGCACAUAGGUAGGCAGUGUGUUCAAAAUAUAAGAACUAGAUCAAACAGAUCAAAACAUAAGAAAUAAUAAGCUCCCAGGAGUGCAUCACCAUUUUCCAGUCACUUCCAUCCUCCCUACCAGAGUGAACACUAUCCUGAAUCUUAACAUCUUAUCUUUGUUUUGCCUGUUUUUGUACUUGACAUGAAUGGAUAAUCCAGUGCUCUGCCUGGCUUCCAUUUGAUCCCCAGUGUUUGUGAGAUUGAACCAUAUGGCUGCAGGUUGUUUGUUCUUGUUGUUACAGAAUAUUUCAUUGUGCAAAUAUUCCAUAAUCGAUCCAUUUGGCUCUUAAAGAUGUUAAGUAUAGCUCCAGUUCAUUCUAUUAUGAAUGGUGCAUCUACAAAUGUUCUCAUAUGUGACUUUUGCUGAAUAUCUGUAAGUGUUCCUUUUGGGUAUAUACUGAGGAGUGGAAUUACUCCACUGUAGAAUAUGCAUAUAUAUCCAGCUUGAAUAGAUGCUAUGAAGUGUAUUCAAGUAGUUGUACCAAUUUACGUUUCCACAGUAGGGUGAGAGCUCAUGAAUUUUAUUUUUGUUAUGCUGUUCUGGUGGUAGACGGGAGUUGCAUGUUCUUAGGUUCACUUCAGUUCAUGUUUGUUGUAUGGGAAGGAAUGGUCGUAGCUAUCUUCAUGGAUUCUUUGAAAGCUAAGUUAAAUAUUUGUGUCUAUUUAUGAGCUCAUUCUCUUCCCCUUUGUUUCCCUGUGUAUAUAUGUUAUGUGUGCAUGUUUUCUAUGUCUUACACACACAUGGUGUGUGUGUAUAUGCUCAGUCCUUCAGUUGGGUCCAACUCUUUGUAACCCCAUGGACUGCAGUCCCCGAAGUUCCUCUCUCCAUGAGAUUUUCUGGGCAAGAAUACUAGAGUGGGUUGCCAUUUCCUCCUCCAGCGGAUCUUCCCAACUCAGGGAUUGAACCCACAUUUCUUUGCCUCCUGCAUUGUAGGCAGAAUCUUUACCUCUGAGACACCAAGAAAGCCAGUGUGUGUGUGUGUGUGUGUGUGUGUAUUUUUUUUUUCCUCAUAAGUAUACUACUGUGUGUGUGUGUGUGUGUGUAUUUUUUUUUUUCCUCAUAAGUAUACUGCUAUGACUCUUAGACUGGAAAGUUGCAUUGAAGGGUAUCUAGCUCAGGGUCUUGCAUCUCUCCUGAACCAGCAACGAUCUUGCUUAAGUCUCUGAAAAGCACCAAUAGUUUAGAGUGACCCGUUUGUUAAUGAACUCAUGUGUUUUUGUCUUCCACAUUGUGGUGACAUCUGUUUCUUUAACUUUUCCCAUAAAUAUCAUGCCUUUUUACAGGCAUGGGGUGGGGGGAACUCAUGAUGCUUAUGAAAAGUGAAAGUGAAGUCGCUCAGUUGUUUCCGACUCUUUGCGACUGACUGCAUGGGCGGUAGCCUACCAGGCUUCUCUGUCCAUGGGAUUUUCUAGGCAAGAGUACAGGAAUGGGUUGUGAUUUCCUUCUCCAGGGGAUCUUCCUGACCCGGGGAUCAAACCCGGGUCUCCCGCAUUGCAGGCAGACACUUUACCCUCUGAGCCACCAGGGAAGCUCAUGAUGCUAAUAAUAGAGUUAAAUCUCUAGGCAGAGAUUCAUGGCAUUUAAAAAAAUCACACUUUUUAGCAUCUGCAGGGGUUUGGUCUCUGAGCAGUUUUCUCUGGGGAACUUUAGUGAAAAACCACCAUGCACAAUGGAAAAGAAAACUGUGCAAAAUUACUUUUGUUUUUGCCUAUUUACAUUUUUUGCCUUUCCUGAUUGUUUUCUGCCAUGACCAUAUGUUGAUGUUUUCCCCCUUUUGGUUGAGUUUAAACAUUGUUUAAAAUGAAAAUUUUAUAAAUGCAAAUAGCACAUUUUAUAAAUCAGGCUAUAAUAAAUGAAAUUUAAAAAAGACAACCUUGCUUU
Molecule: long non-coding RNA, 2837 nt
Organism: Dama dama (fallow deer)
Lineage: Eukaryota; Metazoa; Chordata; Mammalia; Artiodactyla; Cervidae
Exons: 3
Source: RefSeq, a predicted model, not a curated record